This 406-nucleotide ribosomal RNA is filed under the name uncultured bacterium. RNAcentral describes it as "partial 16S ribosomal RNA". It matches the Rfam family "Bacterial small subunit ribosomal RNA", at positions 30 to 526 of the family's 1533-position model. The record is from RNAcentral.
AUUGAACGCUGGCGGCAGGCCUAACACAUGCAAGUCGAGCGAGCGGCGGACGGGUGAGUAAUUUCUGGGAACCUGACUGAUGGAGGGGGAUAACUACUGGAAACGGUAGCUAAUACCUCAUACCAUCGGAUGUGCCCAGAUGGGUGUAGCUGGUUGGUGGGGUAAGGGCUCACCUAGGCGACGAACCCUAGCUGGUCUGAGAGGAUGACCAGCCACACUGGAACUGAGACACGGUCCAGACUCCUACGGGAGGCAGCAGUGGGGAAUAUUGCACAAUGGGCGAAAGCCUGAUGCAGCCAUGCCGCGUGUGUGAAGAAGGCCUUCGGGUUGUAAAGCACUUUCAGCGGGGAGGCGUUACCCGCAGAAGAAGCACCGGCUAACUCCGUGCCAGCAGCCGCGGUAAUUC